UUUCCGUAGGUGAACCUGCGGAAGGAUCAUUAAUGAGGGCGUGUGGGCUAAUAUCCCCACGAACCCUAAUCCUUUGUUUACUGUCCCAAUGUGGUUUUUACUUGGGCGCGGUUUGGCUUUUUAUGUGAUGUGCCCAAAAGGCUGCCAUAGUCUCCUCACCUCCCCCCCAAAAAAAAACGAAAACAUAUCAAAAAAAAAAAAAAAAAAUCUAUUAAUAAACUGAUGUGUCUGAAGCAAAUCACUUAAACAAACAAAACUUUCAACAACGGAUCUCUUGGUUCCGGCAUCGAUGAAGAACGCAGCGAAAUGCGAUAAGUAAUGUGGACCGCAGUACUCAGCGACUCAUCGAAUCUUUGAACGCACAUUGCGCCCCUUGGUAUCACCAAAGGGCACACCUGUUCGAGCGUCAUCAUACAUCAAUCAAGUUUUGGGCCCGGCUUGCUCUUGGGCUUUGUCUGCUUUAUGUAGAAGUCUAAAAAUCAGUGGCGGUUAAGUUAGGCAUUCCAGCGUAGUGAUUUUAUUAGCUGAUGAGAUGUCUUUCACAUAACAGUCAACAUAUCUAAAGUUUCUGCUGGCGGAAAUUUUAUCAAUUAUUGACCUCGGAUCAGGUGAGGAUACCCGCUAAAUUUAA
Molecule: unclassified non-coding RNA, 631 nt
Filed under: Peltigera ponojensis
Lineage: Eukaryota; Fungi; Ascomycota; Lecanoromycetes; Peltigerales; Peltigeraceae
Description: sequence contains ITS1, 5.8S rRNA gene and ITS2
Rfam family: 5.8S ribosomal RNA (bases 255-409)
Source: RNAcentral